UACGUAGGGGGCAAGCGUUAUCCGGAUUUACUGGGUGUAAAGGGAGCGUAGACGGUGAUGCAAGUCAGAAGUGAAAGCCCGGGGCUCAACUCCGGGACUGCUUUUGAAACUGUGUGACUGGAGUGCAGGAGAGGUAAGCGGAAUUCCUGGUGUAGCGGUGAAAUGCAUAGAUAUCGCGCAGAACUCCGAUUGCGAAGGCAGCAUGCCGGCUCCACACUGACGCUGAGGCACGAAAGCGUGGGUAUCGAACAGG
RNAcentral lists this ribosomal RNA (253 nucleotides) under uncultured Eubacteriales bacterium. Its description in RNAcentral is "uncultured Clostridiales bacterium partial 16S ribosomal RNA". It matches the Rfam family "Bacterial small subunit ribosomal RNA", at positions 524 to 776 of the family's 1533-position model. Lineage: Bacteria; Bacillati; Bacillota; Clostridia; Eubacteriales. The record is from RNAcentral.